This 1348-nucleotide ribosomal RNA is filed under the name Lactococcus cremoris. RNAcentral describes it as "bacterial SSU rRNA". It matches the Rfam family "Bacterial small subunit ribosomal RNA", at positions 79 to 1423 of the family's 1533-position model. The record is from RNAcentral. Lineage: Bacteria; Bacillati; Bacillota; Bacilli; Lactobacillales; Streptococcaceae.
UGCCCCAAUUUGAAGAGCAGCGAACGGGUGAGUAACGCGUGGGGAAUCUGCCUUUGAGCGGGGGACAACAUUUGGAAACGAAUGCUAAUACCGCAUAAUAACUUUAAACAUAAGUUUUAAGUUUGAAAGAUGCAAUUGCAUCACUCAAAGAUGAUCCCGCGUUGUAUUAGCUAGUUGGUGAGGUAAAGGCUCACCAAGGCGAUGAUACAUAGCCGACCUGAGAGGGUGAUCGGCCACAUUGGGACUGAGACACGGCCCAAACUCCUACGGGAGGCAGCAGUAGGGAAUCUUCGGCAAUGGACGAAAGUCUGACCGAGCAACGCCGCGUGAGUGAAGAAGGUUUUCGGAUCGUAAAACUCUGUUGGUAGAGAAGAACGUUGGUGAGAGUGGAAAGCUCAUCAAGUGACGGUAACUACCCAGAAAGGGACGGCUAACUACGUGCCAGCAGCCGCGGUAAUACGUAGGUCCCGAGCGUUGUCCGGAUUUAUUGGGCGUAAAGCGAGCGCAGGUGGUUUAUUAAGUCUGGUGUAAAAGGCAGUGGCUCAACCAUUGUAUGCAUUGGAAACUGGUAGACUUGAGUGCAGGAGAGGAGAGUGGAAUUCCAUGUGUAGCGGUGAAAUGCGUAGAUAUAUGGAGGAACACCGGUGGCGAAAGCGGCUCUCUGGCCUGUAACUGACACUGAGGCUCGAAAGCGUGGGGAGCAAACAGGAUUAGAUACCCUGGUAGUCCACGCCGUAAACGAUGAGUGCUAGAUGUAGGGAGCUAUAAGUUCUCUGUAUCGCAGCUAACGCAAUAAGCACUCCGCCUGGGGAGUACGACCGCAAGGUUGAAACUCAAAGGAAUUGACGGGGGCCCGCACAAGCGGUGGAGCAUGUGGUUUAAUUCGAAGCAACGCGAAGAACCUUACCAGGUCUUGACAUACUCGUGCUAUUCCUAGAGAUAGGAAGUUCCUUCGGGACACGGGAUACAGGUGUGCAUGGUUGUCGUCAGCUCGUGUCGUGAGAUGUUGGGUAGUCCCGCAACGAGCGCAACCCCUAUUGUUAGUUGCCAUCAUUAAGUUGGGCACUCUAACGAGACUGCCGGUGAUAAACCGGAGGAAGGUGGGGAUGACGUCAAAUCAUCAUGCCCCUUAUGACCUGGGCUACACACGUGCUACAAUGGAUGGUACAACGAGUCGCGAGACAGUGAUGUUUAGCUAAUCUCUUAAAACCAUUCUCAGUUCGGAUUGUAGGCUGCAACUCGCCUACAUGAAGUCGGAAUCGCUAGUAAUGGGACAGCACGCCGCGGUGAAUACGUUCCCGGGCCUUGUACACUCCGCCCGUCACACCACGGGAGUUGGGAGUAUACG